GCGGCGUGCUUAACACAUGCAAGUCGAACGAAGAUUGUUGGAAUGAGAGCUUCGGCAGGAUUUCCUUCCAUCUUAGUGGCGGACGGGUGAGUAACGUGUGGGCAACCUGCCCUGUACUGGGGAAUAAUCAUUGGAAACGAUGACUAAUACCGCAUGUGGUCCUCGGAAGGCAUCUUCUGAGGAAGAGAGGAUUUAUUCGGUACAGGAUGGGCCCGCAUCUGAUUAGCUAGUUGGUGAGAUAACAGCCCACCAAGGCGACGAUCAGUAGCCGACCUGAGAGGGUGAUCGGCCACAUUGGGACUGAGACACGGCCCAAACUCCUACGGGAGGCAGCAGUGGGGAAUAUUGCACAAUGGGCGAAAGCCUGAUGCAGCAACGCCGCGUGAAGGAUGAAGGGUUUCGGCUCGUAAACUUCUAUCAAUAGGGAAGAAAGAAAUGACGGUACCUAAAUAAGAAGCCCCGGCUAACUACGUGCCAGCAGCCGCGGUAAUACGUAGGGGGCAAGCGUUAUCCGGAAUUACUGGGUGUAAAGGGAGCGUAGGCGGCAUGGUAAGCCAGAUGUGAAAGCCUUGGGCUUAACCCGAGGAUUGCAUUUGGAACUAUCAAGCUAGAGUACAGGAGAGGAAAGCGGAAUUCCUAGUGUAGCGGUGAAAUGCGUAGAUAUUAGGAAGAACACCAGUGGCGAAGGCGGCUUUCUGGACUGAAACUGACGCUGAGGCUCGAAAGCGUGGGGAGCAAACAGGAUUAGAUACCCUGGUAGUCCACGCUGUAAACGAUGAGUGCUAGGUGUUGGGGAGGAAUCCUCGGUGCCGCAGCUAACGCAAUAAGCACUCCACCUGGGGGAGUACGACCGCAAGGGUGAAACUCAAAGGAAUUGACGGGGGCCCGCACAAGCGGUGGAGCAUGUGGUUUAAUUCGAAGCAACGCGAAGAACCUUACCAAGGCUUGACAUCCCGAUGACCGCUCUAGAGAUAGAGCUUCUCUUCGGAGCAUCGGUGACAGGUGGUGCAUGGUUGUCGUCAGCUCGUGUCGUGAGAUGUUGGGUUAAGUCCCGCAACGAGCGCAACCCUUAUCUUCAGUAGCCAUCAUUCAGUUGGGCACUCUGGAGAGACUGCCGUGGAUAACACGGAGGAAGGUGGGGAUGACGUCAAAUCAUCAUGCCCCUUAUGUCUUGGGCUACACACGUGCUACAAUGGCUGGUAACAAAGUGACGCAAGACGGCGACGUUAAGCAAAUCACAAAAACCCAGUCCCAGUUCGGAUUGUAGUCUGCAACUCGACUACAUGAAGCUGGAAUCGCUAGUAAUCGCGAAUCAGCAUGUCGCGGUGAAUACGUUCCCGGGCCUUGUACACACCGCCCGUCACACCAUGGGAGUUGGAAGCACCCGAAGUCGGUGACCUAACCGUAAGGAAGGAGCCGCCGAAGGUGAAGCCAGUGACUGGGGUGAAGUCAUAAC
This 1456-nucleotide ribosomal RNA is filed under the name uncultured organism. RNAcentral's name for it is "SSU rRNA". It matches the Rfam family "Bacterial small subunit ribosomal RNA". The record is from RNAcentral.